UCCGGCACUGAACUGCCCAGUCCUGCCGGCUGGCCGCAUUUUUGUCCUUGAUUGCAAAUAAUGGCGUUUCUGGUGCUUUUCCUUUCCCUGCUGGCUGCCCCGGGAUGUGUCCUGUCCCAAGUGCAGCUGGUCCAGUCCGGCCCAGGCGUGGUGAAGCCCGGAGAGACCCUCGCACUGACCUGCUCUAUCACCGGUGACUCGGUCACUAGCAGGUACUGGGAAUGGGUCCGACAGGCUCCCGGGAAAGGGCUGGAGUGGGUGGGACAGAUCGACUGGGCCAGCUCCAACUGGCGCAUAUACUACGGCCCGUCUUUCCAGAGCCGCGCAACCCUCAGUGCAGAUUCCUCCAAGAACCAGUUCUCGCUGCAGCUCCGCUCGCUGACAGCUGCAGACAGCGGCACCUAUUACUGCGCCAGGGACACAACUGAGAUCUUUGGAGUGAGGAGUCUCCCUAACUGGGCCCGGUCACAGAUUGUUCUGACCCAGUCAGGUCCAGAAAGGAAGAAGCCCGGAGAAUCCAAUCAGCUGAAAUGCGCCGUGAGCGGGUUCGCUGUCUCCGGCGAUUAUAUGGACUGGGUCAGACAGGAGCCGGGAAAGGGGCUGGAGUGGCUGGUCAGCUACUGGAAAUCAGGGCAGAGCGAGUAUUAUUCUCCCACCAUCCAGGGGCGAUUCACAGCCUCCAAGGACAGCUCCAACUUCUACCUGUAA
Non-coding RNA from Mauremys mutica (yellowpond turtle), 708 nucleotides. The record is from the annotation of a RefSeq genome assembly. Lineage: Eukaryota; Metazoa; Chordata; Testudines; Geoemydidae.